GCUGGUUUGGCUCAGUGGAUAGAGCGUCAGCCUGCGGACUGAAGGGUACCAGGUUCGAUUCCGGUCAAGGGCA
This is a non-coding RNA of Myotis lucifugus (little brown bat), 73 nucleotides long. NCBI's taxonomy places the organism in Eukaryota, Metazoa, Chordata, Mammalia, Chiroptera, Vespertilionidae. The record is from Rfam.